This 823-nucleotide ribosomal RNA is filed under the name uncultured Chloroflexota bacterium. RNAcentral describes it as "bacterial SSU rRNA". It matches the Rfam family "Bacterial small subunit ribosomal RNA", at positions 119 to 958 of the family's 1533-position model. Lineage: Bacteria; Bacillati; Chloroflexota. The record is from RNAcentral.
AGGUGACCUGCCUUGAAGUGGGGGAUAACCAUUGGAAACGAUGGCUAAUACCGCAUGGGCUGGUGAUGAUGGGAAUCAUUAUCAGCAAAGCUUUAGUGCUUUGAGAGGGGCCUACGGCCGAUUAGCUAGUUGGUGAGGUAACGGCUCACCAAGGCGAUGAUCGGUAGCUGGUCUGAGAGGACGAUCAGCCACACGGGAACUGAGACACGGUCCCGACUCCUACGGGGGGCAGCAGUGAGGAAUAUUCGGCAAUGGGGGCAACCCUGACCGAGCAACGCCGCGUGGAGGAUGACGGUUUUCGGAUUGUAAACUCCUUUUCUCAGGGAAGAGCGAGGACGGUACCUGAGGAAUAAGUCACGGCUAACUACGUGCCAGCAGCCGCGGUAAUACGUAGGUGGCAAGCGUUAUCCGGAAUUACUGGGCGUAAAGCGCACGCAGGUGGCGGCUUAAGUCUGACGUGAAAGCUCCUGGCUUAACUGGGAGAGGUCGUUGGAGACUGGGCGGCUUGAGGCGAGGAGAGGGGUGUAGAAUUCCCGGUGUAGUGGUGGAAUGCGUAGAGAUCGGGAGGAAUACCAGUGGCGAAAGCGGCACCCUGGCCUUGGCCUGACGCUCAGGUGCGAAAGCGUGGGGAGCGAACGGGAUUAGAUACCCCGGUAGUCCACGCGGUAAACGAUGAAUACUAGGUGUAGGUGGUCUCAAAACUAUCUGUACCGCAGCUAACGCGCUAAGUAUUCCGCCUGGGGAGUACGACCGCAAGGUUAAAACUCAAAGGAAUUGACGGGGGCCCGCACAAGCAGCGGAGCGUGUGGUUUAAUUCGAUGCA